RNAcentral lists this non-coding RNA (25 nucleotides) under Mus musculus (house mouse). Lineage: Eukaryota; Metazoa; Chordata; Mammalia; Rodentia; Muridae. The record is from RNAcentral.
UGAUAAUAAAUGGUAUGGCCCGGAU